Bombina bombina (fire-bellied toad) is the source of this 559-nucleotide long non-coding RNA. RefSeq lists it as uncharacterized. Lineage: Eukaryota; Metazoa; Chordata; Amphibia; Anura; Bombinatoridae. The transcript has 2 exons. The record is from RefSeq and is a predicted model, not a curated record.
UUUUUCUUCCACAGGUACCUUUAGAUGUUCUUACUCUGAACCAGACAGGGGCGAAACUACAGGGGGUACAGAGGUCGCAAUUGCGACUGGGCCCCCAAGUGUGGGGGCCCAGCUUCAAAAAAACAAAAAACGUUGAUCUGCCACUGCCUGCACUGAUAUCAUAUUCUUGCACCUGGGCCCUGUGGUUUCUAGUUACGCCUCUGGAACCAGAAGUUUUGGAUACAAGAUUUUCCUCCCCUGGAUAAAAGUAUUUUCUUCUCUCUUCUCUGGAUCCUUCCACAUUGGACCUCCACUGCAUUUUUUACUUUCUGUGACUCUUUGUGACUGUAUAGACUUUGGGAGUAUAUUGUUGCUUUAUAUGAGCUCAGAUUCAUUAAUUAUUUACUUUAUUGUUCUUUUUUUUUGUUAUACCUUUAUUUUGUCAUAUGCUUGACAUAUGUUUUUCACCGUUGCUUUUUAAACAUUUUACUCUAGAUUGUGAAUAACUCUGCCAGAUUGCCACAUAGUUCUAGCAAUCUUGUUCCAUUUAUUCCUUGGAUUAAAACCGUUUUUAUAUACA